AAUGCAGCAGGAGGAGAAGGAUCUCACAGGGGCAGCUUGGUUCUCCUCCUCCUAUGCCAAUAAUAUAUGGGACAAUCAUGGUGCUCCUUUUAAAUAUACAAAGAAGUGGUAAGACUGCCAGAAAAAGGAAAGUGAAAAACUUCAGAUAUUAACAUCAUCUACACACAGAGCAGGAAAUGGCUUGGCGUGAAAUUCAUGGUUUUCAAACAGUUUAAGAAAGCAACAAACUCAUAUUAAAAAGUCCAAUGGUACACAUUGUUGCACAGGAAGAAGGACUUGUAAAAGAUAACAGAUGGUCACCACCAACAUGCUCAAACACCAACAAAUGAUGUGCUUUUGCUAUAGCUAUACCAUCAGCUCCAGCUUUUGCUCCAGCCUUGAUUCCAGCUUGGAUCCCAGCCUCUGGUUUGGACCUGUCUCCAGACCAAAACCACACACCACACUUGGAUGCUCUAGAGAAUUGGACCCUAGAGACCCGACCAUCUCUGGACAUUUCUUGGAACCAUACACUGUCCUAGUUUCCUGGCUUGCAAGUGGUGUGCUUGCCUCUCCUUUUUCCUGCCUUGUCUCUGUGAGGAGAUCCACCAACACACAUAGCUGCUACCCUGCAAGUGUGCAAGUCACACUACCGGAUAUUGGAUUAGGCAUUACUAAUUGUCUAACUUCCUAAAUCUCCUUGCUCCCUUCUCUUUAAGUCUAAAGCUACUCUUCAGGUCCUUUCUCUGGCCAGCCCUGAGCUGAUUCUUUAAUAAUUCGAACCUCAUGCUACAACGCCUCUUCAUGAGAUUCCAGAUUAGCACUAUUAGUUAAUAUUUUAUUGCCUCCUUGCCAUCUUAAUAUUUCUUUCUGCAUCUCA
This is a long non-coding RNA of Hemicordylus capensis (graceful crag lizard), 856 nucleotides long. RefSeq lists it as uncharacterized. NCBI's taxonomy places the organism in Eukaryota, Metazoa, Chordata, Lepidosauria, Squamata, Cordylidae. The transcript has 4 exons. The record is from RefSeq and is a predicted model, not a curated record.